CGAACGCUGGCGGCGUGCUUAACACAUGCAAGUCGAACGGGCCCGCCCCUGUUUUUGGGGGUGGGUUGAGUGGCGAACGGGUGAGUAUCACGUGAGUAACCUGCCCCCUGCUCCUGGAUAACUGCUUGAAAGGGCGGCUAAUACGGGGUGUGCCGGCUGGUCCGCAUGGGCCUGGUCGGGAUAGUUUCAUCUUCGGGUGUUUCGGUGGGGGAUGGGCUCGCGGCCUAUCAGCUUGUUGGUGGGGUGAUGGCCCACCAAGGCGGUGACGGGUAGCCGGCCUGAGAGGGUGGGCGGCCACACUGGGACUGAGACACGGCCCAGACUCCUGCGGGAGGCAGCAGUGGGGGGUAUUGCACAAUGGGCGGAAGCCUGAUGCAGCGACGUCGCGUGAGGGAUGGAGGCCUUCGGGUUGUGAACCUCUUUCUCCGGUGGUGAAGGCCCUGUCCGUUGCGGCGGGGUUGACGGUAGCCGGGUAUGAAGCGCCGGCUAACUACGUG
RNAcentral lists this ribosomal RNA (497 nucleotides) under uncultured bacterium. RNAcentral's name for it is "partial 16S ribosomal RNA". It matches the Rfam family "Bacterial small subunit ribosomal RNA", at positions 30 to 507 of the family's 1533-position model. The record is from RNAcentral.